GUGAAGAGGGAAGAGCCCAGCACCGAAGCCUGCGGCAGUUUUGCUGUUAGGCAAUGUGGBGUGCGGGUCGGUUGGCGGGACCGUCACUCCACUCGAAGUCCAGCAUUGAGUAUGGUUAUCACUGGAUUUGGUCCAUAGAGGGUGAGAKGUCYBUACGAGUGGAGGUUCAGACAUGUGUGACGGUUCACCAGGCCGACCUCAGAGUCGGGUUGUUUGAGAUUGCAGCCCAAAGAGGGUGGUAAACUCCAUCCAAGGCUAAAUACUGGCACGAGUCCGAUAGCGAACAAGUACCGUGAGGGAAAGUUGAAAAGUACUCUGAAGAGAGAGUAAACAGUACGUGAAGCCGCAUGCAGGUAAACGGGUGGCGUCAAGCUGCGAGCCCGGAGGAUUCAGCUGAUUAGGAUGUAGUGUACGCGCGCCUGGUGCGUCGAGAGACCGGAAUAAGAUGUUUGGCGGUCCGCUCCUCUGCUAGGAGUGGGGCGCUAUCGGCGUGCACGUGCUUGCAUGUGUGUGCCGGUUGUCGCUAUGCAUGCCGGGUGGGUGCCGGAGCAUGCCGCUCAUCUGUUGGGUCGCCUAGUCAGUGCAUUUUCUCCGUGGUGAACACCACGACCGGUGGAACUAACAGUCUGCUGUGAUCAAGUCGUGUCCUUCUGACCCCUCCCUACCUCUCUCUCUCGCCCUGUGUGAGUGGGAGGGCAGUGGAUGUGUGUGUUGGGUGGGUACGAUCGCAGAUGGAGUCGGUGGACGGCGCAGUGGUGUCUCGGCACCGCCGCGUGUUAUCGUGCACUCUCCGUCCUAAGCGACUAGUGGGUUUGACUAAGUGCUGUAACUACCUGCCCAUUAAUCGGCGGAUAGCAGUGGUAAAAAUGACUGUGCAGGGCACCGSAGUUAUCCACCUCAUUUGUUCAUUCAACUUGUUGAAUGAAUGGAUAUGGUACCCGACACGCACGUUACAGGUGCUAUGUAAUCGAGGCGCGCCGCUGUCUGCCUGGUGUUGGGCCUGACUGUCGUGUUGCCUGCGCAAAGUGGGUCCGGCAGUGGUUGCAGACACUUGGCAGUUGCAGUGUGUAGCGUGCCUUGGGUGUGUGUGGUACCGGGGGUGAAAUAGUCAGUGGUGCUGUGGUAGACGAGCUACCCGACCCGUCUUGAAACACGGACCAAGGAGUUUAACAUGUGUGCGAGUCAAAGGGUCCUACGAAACCCCGAGGCGCAGUGAAAGUGAAGUUCAUACUGUACUUCAGUCAUACGCGGUACAGUGUGGNNAGGUGAGAUCAUCCUUGUGCUCAAUGGCACACGCCACAGAUUUUACUGGGCAAUACUGGGGCAAGGAGCGCAAUCACCGGCCCGUCGCAUGUUGUGGUCAUAGGUAUACAUUGUGCNNGGGAGGGUGCGUGUGCGUGCUUGCAUGUGCAUGUACUUGAA
Molecule: ribosomal RNA, 1422 nt
Filed under: Equinia mamillana
Lineage: Eukaryota; Metazoa; Platyhelminthes; Cestoda; Cyclophyllidea; Anoplocephalidae
Description: eukaryotic LSU rRNA
Rfam family: Eukaryotic large subunit ribosomal RNA
Source: RNAcentral